Molecule: ribosomal RNA, 497 nt
Filed under: uncultured bacterium
Lineage: Bacteria
Description: partial 16S ribosomal RNA
Rfam family: Bacterial small subunit ribosomal RNA
Source: RNAcentral
GAUGAACGCUGGCGGCGUGCCUAAUACAUGCAAGUCGAGCGAACAGAUGAGGAGCUUGCUCCUCUGACGUUAGCGGCGGACGGGUGAGUAACACGUGGAUAACCUACCUAUAAGACUGGGAUAACUUCGGGAAACCGGAGCUAAUACCGGAUAAUAUAUUGAACCGCAUGGUUCAAUAGUGAAAGACGGUUUUGCUGUCACUUAUAGAUGGAUCCGCGCCGCAUUAGCUAGUUGGUAAGGUAACGGCUUACCAAGGCAACGAUGCGUAGCCGACCUGAGAGGGUGAUAGGCGACACUGGAACGGAGACGCGGUCCAGACUCCUACGGGAGGCAGCAGUAGGGAAUCUUCCGCAAUGGGCGAAAACCUGACGGAGCAACGCCGCGUGAGUUAUGAAGGUCUUCGGAUCGUAAAACUCUGUUAUUAGUUAAGAACAAAUGUGUAAGUAACUAUGCACGUCUUGACGGUACCUAAUCAGAAAGCCACGGCUAACUACGUG